CUGGCAACGUCUUUAAUACUCCAAGCUUAAACUUGAGGAGGGAACGCUUCAGUAAAAAGCGGUGCAAUAAUGAGCUUGUAAAGCCUAUUUGCACAGCUAUGGAUGCCUCUGAUUUUGUCAAGUGAACCACAUAAUGUACUGCACCAUCACUUCCUAUUAGUGGAGGAAACUGUACAAAAUGCAUUUCAGGAAAGAGGUGCUUUUUCUGUCACCACAUCAGCUAAAUUGGCAGAAGAGAAAUCAAAUUCACAACCAAACAUUUCCAGCUUGUCUGGUGAAGUUACCAAAACGAGGUAUAAUGAAAAUCUGGCAGUGGUGGCUGAAAAUAGUAUCAGAAGUCCUAUUAGCACUGAUACUGUUGGGAGGACUGGGCAUAGUAAGAUGAGUUGAGAUAUUACUUGGGUUUGAUUGGUGUUACUACCGGUAAGGGUAAUGUUGUCCUCACUGACUAAAAUGUCCGUCCUAUUGAGGUCUUCAUGUGCAAUAUCGUGUGCAAGAAGGGAUAUGGCGAUGGCUUUAAGUGGCUUUCCCAAUACAUUAAGUAGGAGAAUCGGAGAAUGGAAGAAGCAAGCGAAUGUGCGAAGCCAUCUAAGGGUAACUUUCAUGCCACUGCUGCAUGAAUGUAUAUAUUGGGAAUGUAAAGUUUAGUAUGUAGCUUUUACUUUGUUAUCUUGCAGACAGUCUUGCUAUUUUUUUGGUGGGGAAGGUUAAGUUGAUUAUGUUCUCUCUCUGUGUCUGUCUCUCUUUGUACUUGACACGAUUGUAAAGAAAUUAAGUUGUGUUGUAAUAUUUAUGAUUGAUGGGGAAAUGUUCCGAUC
Non-coding RNA from Camellia sinensis, 818 nucleotides. NCBI's taxonomy places the organism in Eukaryota, Viridiplantae, Streptophyta, Magnoliopsida, Ericales, Theaceae. The record is from RefSeq and is a predicted model, not a curated record.